Non-coding RNA from Rattus norvegicus (Norway rat), 69 nucleotides. The record is from Rfam. Lineage: Eukaryota; Metazoa; Chordata; Mammalia; Rodentia; Muridae.
GGGGAUUUGGCUCAGUGGUAGAGCGCUUACCUAGGAAGCGCAAGGUCCUGGGUUCGGUUCCCAGCCCCG